This 393-nucleotide ribosomal RNA is filed under the name uncultured bacterium. RNAcentral's name for it is "partial 16S ribosomal RNA". It matches the Rfam family "Bacterial small subunit ribosomal RNA", at positions 523 to 918 of the family's 1533-position model. The record is from RNAcentral.
AUACGGAGGAUCCGAGCGUUAUCCGGAUUUAUUGGGUUUAAAGGGAGCGUAGAUGGGUUGUUAAGUCAGUUAUGAAAGUUUGCGGCUCAACCGUAAAAUUGCAAUUGAUACUGGCAGCCUUGAGUACAGUUGAGGUAGGCGGAAUUCGUGGUGUAGCGGUGAAAUGCUUAGAUAUCACGAAGAACUCCGAUUGCGAAGGCUGCCUCCUUAACCGUCACAGACCUUGAUUCUCGUAAGUGUUGAUAUCAAACAGGAUUCGAUGCCCUGGUAGGCCUAACCGUAAGCGAUGAACACUCGAUGUGUGCGAUCUACAGCGAGCGGCCUAGCGAAAGCGUUAAGGAUUAAAGCUGGGCAGUACGGUGGCACCGCUGAAGCUCAAAUGAAUUGACGGGG